RNAcentral lists this ribosomal RNA (367 nucleotides) under uncultured Bacteroides sp. Its description in RNAcentral is "bacterial SSU rRNA". It matches the Rfam family "Bacterial small subunit ribosomal RNA", at positions 527 to 896 of the family's 1533-position model. The record is from RNAcentral. Lineage: Bacteria; Pseudomonadati; Bacteroidota; Bacteroidia; Bacteroidales; Bacteroidaceae.
GGAGGAUGCGAGCGUUAUCCGGAUUUAUUGGGUUUAAAGGGUGCGUAGGCGGUUUGAUAAGUUAGAGGUGAAAUGUCGGGGCUCAACCCCGAAACUGCCUUUAAUACUGUUGGACUAGAGAAUAGUUGCGGUAGGCGGAAUGUAUGGUGUAGCGGUGAAAUGCUUAGAGAUCAUACAGAACACCGAUUGCGAAGGCAGCUUACCAAACUAUAUCUGACGUUGAGGCACGAAAGCGUGGGUAGCAAACAGGAUUAGAUACCCUGGUAGUCCACGCAGUAAACGAUGAUAACUCGUUGUCGGCGAUACACAGUCGGUGACUAAGCGAAAGCGAUAAGUUAUCCACCUGGGGAGUACGUUCGCAAGAAUG